This 994-nucleotide ribosomal RNA is filed under the name Hastigerina pelagica. Its description in RNAcentral is "SSU rRNA". It matches the Rfam family "Eukaryotic small subunit ribosomal RNA", at positions 1176 to 1778 of the family's 1831-position model. The record is from RNAcentral. Lineage: Eukaryota; Foraminifera; Rotaliida; Hantkeninidae.
GUGGAGCAUGUGGCUUAAUUUGACUCAACGCGGGAAAUCUUACCGGGUCCGGACACACUGAGGAUUGACAGACAGUAUUCAUGCCGACUGAAUUUCGACAUAUUUCAAAUGUGCGAGUUCUUUCAUGAUUGUGUGAUAGGUGGUGCAUGGCCGUUCUUAGUUCGUGGAGUGAUCUGUCUGCUUAAUUGCGUUUCAUAUUUACGAAUGUCGCUUACGUGAUUGCUGCAGACCUCGUCUCUCUUUAUUGAGUGCGACGCGUCUCUUCAACUCACUCGCACAUUCUCUUGAACGCAACGAGCGUGACCGCAACCUCUUGUUGUGUAUACCAAGUGUGUCGUUGCUUGCAACUCACACUCCAAUGCACGUAUUUUGGUCACAUUGUCUCGGCCGUCGCGCGCAGCCUCGGCUGUGUCGGCGCCAGCAAUGUCCAAAUAAACUUGAGGGACCGCUGUAACAAUUCUUUUAAACCAGAGGAAGGUUGUGGCAAUAACAGGUCUGUGAUGCCCUUAGAUGUCCCGGGCUGCACACGUGCUACAAUGAUCAGUACAGUGAGCAUCUUUGCAAUACCAGCGUUUGGAGGCCUGGCCAAGUCACUUGUGACUCGGCUUGCAGUCUCUACGUUGCCUUCCCAAGUCUGACAAGAUUUGGAAAUCCAUUGGAAGUCCUGAAUCAAUCCCUAUUGAGCAUUUUUCUCUACAGUGGCGCCAGACUUCGUCCCAUGUCGGUUCGCCUGACUUGUGCGGCACUUGGCGUCUACUAUAUGCAAUUGUCAAUUCAUAGUGGGGACAGACGAUUGUUAAUUGUUCGUCUCGGUCUCAACUAGGAAUGCCUUGUACGGGUCUUUGGUUCACCAGACCACCCGGAAUACGUCCCUGCCCUUUGUACACACCGCCCGUCGCUCUUACCGAUGAACUUCUCUGUGAGUUUGAGGGACCGUCAAUUGUGUGGCAACACACGACGCUAUGGAAACUUAAACGAACAGUGUGAUUUAAAG